RNAcentral lists this non-coding RNA (45 nucleotides) under Schistosoma margrebowiei. The record is from RNAcentral. Lineage: Eukaryota; Metazoa; Platyhelminthes; Trematoda; Strigeidida; Schistosomatidae.
AUCCAGCAGAUGAAUCCCAAAUAGGACGAAACGCAUGUCUUAGAU